UGGGGAAUAUUGCACAAUGGGCGCAAGCCUGAUGCAGCCAUGCCGCGUGUAUGAAGAAGGCCUUCGGGUUGUAAAGUACUUUCAGCGAGGAGGAAGGCGAUGCGGUUAAUAACCGUGUCGAUUGACGUUACUCGCAGAAGAAGCACCGGCUAACUCCGUGCCAGCAGCCGCGGUAAUACGGAGGGUGCAAGCAUUAAUCGGCAUUACUGGGCGUAAAGCGCACGCAGGCGGUCUGUCAAGUCGGAUGUGAAAUCCCCGGGCUCAACCUGGGAACUGCAUUCGAAACUGGCAGGCUUGAGUCUUGUAGAGGGGGGUAGAAUUCCAGGUGUAGCGGUGAAAUGCGUAGAGAUCUGGAGGAAUACCGGUGGCGAAGGCGACCCCCUGGACAAAGACUGACGCUCAGGUGCGAAAGCGUGGGGAGCAAACA
Molecule: ribosomal RNA, 427 nt
Filed under: uncultured bacterium
Lineage: Bacteria
Description: partial 16S ribosomal RNA
Rfam family: Bacterial small subunit ribosomal RNA
Source: RNAcentral